RNAcentral lists this ribosomal RNA (468 nucleotides) under uncultured bacterium. Its description in RNAcentral is "partial 16S ribosomal RNA". It matches the Rfam family "Bacterial small subunit ribosomal RNA", at positions 28 to 507 of the family's 1533-position model. The record is from RNAcentral.
GACGAACGCUGGCGGCGUGCUUAACACAUGCAAGUCGAACGGAAAGGCCCUGCUCUUGUUGGGUUCUCGAGUGGCGAACGGGUGAGUAACACGUGAGUAACCUGCCCUUGUCUUUCGGAUAACUUCAGGAAACUGGGGCGAAUACCGGAUAUGAGCUCCUGCUGCAUGGUGGGGGUUGGUAAGUUUCGGCGGUUGGGAGUGGACUCGCGGCGUAUCAGCCUGUUGGUGGGGUGGUGGCUUACCCAGGCUUUGACGGGUAGCGGGCCUGAGAGGGUGAGCGGCGACAUAGAGACUGAGGGACGGCAGAGGCUGCGACGGGAGGGAGCUGUGGGAAAGAUUGACGGAGGGGCGGAGGGCGGAUGCAGAAACGCCGCGUGCGGGAUAACGGUGUUAUGGGGGAAAACCGAAUGCGCCUGUAACGAUGCGUGAGUGACGGGAAUCGAAAAAGAAGCACCGGCUAACUAAGUU